UCCAUGACAUCUAUUUCCUGGAAUUACAGGAGAGUACACUUUAUGAUGAUAUUAUUGAUUCUAUUUUAUAGAGGACGGUGAAAUAGAUUUUAACUUUUGCCCUGAACUCAAGAAAUGUAGAUCAAUGACCAAGAUGUGGUGGACCCGGGUUGUGUAUAGGAUUUGAUCCAGUUGGUGUCGCUCUCAGUGAACGAUCGCCUAAAGUUAACUUCCUAUGAAAUUGCUCCUGCUUCAUAAGAUCAUACUCUCUUUUUUGAGGAUGUAGAAGGAUUUCUUCAGCAUUUUCCUUUUGAAAACUCACGGGAAAUAUGCACAAGACGAUCAGGAGAAAAGCUAAUACUUUUGCUGGUGUAGGAUAUUGGUCCAUUUUUAUAGAAAUAUAG
Molecule: long non-coding RNA, 383 nt
Filed under: Olea europaea subsp. europaea
Lineage: Eukaryota; Viridiplantae; Streptophyta; Magnoliopsida; Lamiales; Oleaceae
Source: RNAcentral